This 1407-nucleotide ribosomal RNA is filed under the name Escherichia coli. Its description in RNAcentral is "partial 23S ribosomal RNA". It matches the Rfam family "Bacterial large subunit ribosomal RNA", at positions 502 to 1896 of the family's 2925-position model. Lineage: Bacteria; Pseudomonadati; Pseudomonadota; Gammaproteobacteria; Enterobacterales; Enterobacteriaceae. The record is from RNAcentral.
CGUGAGGGAAAGGCGAAAAGAACCCCGGCGAGGGGAGUGAAAAAGAACCUGAAACCGUGUACGUACAAGCAGUGGGAGCCUCUUAAUGGGGUGACUGCGUACCUUUUGUAUAAUGGGUCAGCGACUUAUAUUCUGUAGCAAGGUUAACCGAAUAGGGGAGCCGAAGGGAAACCGAGUCUUAACUGGGCGUUAAGUUGCAGGGUAUAGACCCGAAACCCGGUGAUCUAGCCAUGGGCAGGUUGAAGGUUGGGUAACACUAACUGGAGGACCGAACCGACUAAUGUUGAAAAAUUAGCGGAUGACUUGUGGCUGGGGGUGAAAGGCCAAUCAAACCGGGAGAUAGCUGGUUCUCCCCGAAAGCUAUUUAGGUAGCGCCUCGUGAAUUCAUCUCCGGGGGUAGAGCACUGUUUCGGCAAGGGGGUCAUCCCGACUUACCAACCCGAUGCAAACUGCGAAUACCGGAGAAUGUUAUCACGGGAGACACACGGCGGGUGCUAACGUCCGUCGUGAAGAGGGAAACAACCCAGACCGCCAGCUAAGGUCCCAAAGUCAUGGUUAAGUGGGAAACGAUGUGGGAAGGCCCAGACAGCCAGGAUGUUGGCUUAGAAGCAGCCAUCAUUUAAAGAAAGCGUAAUAGCUCACUGGUCGAGUCGGCCUGCGCGGAAGAUGUAACGGGGCUAAACCAUGCACCGAAGCUGCGGCAGCGACACUAUGUGUUGUUGGGUAGGGGAGCGUUCUGUAAGCCUGUGAAGGUGUACUGUGAGGUAUGCUGGAGGUAUCAGAAGUGCGAAUGCUGACAUAAGUAACGAUAAAGCGGGUGAAAAGCCCGCUCGCCGGAAGACCAAGGGUUCCUGUCCAACGUUAAUCGGGGCAGGGUGAGUCGACCCCUAAGGCGAGGCCGAAAGGCGUAGUCGAUGGGAAACAGGUUAAUAUUCCUGUACUUGGUGUUACUGCGAAGGGGGGACGGAGAAGGCUAUGUUGGCCGGGCGACGGUUGUCCCGGUUUAAGCGUGUAGGCUGGUUUUCCAGGCAAAUCCGGAAAAUCAAGGCUGAGGCGUGAUGACGAGGCACUACGGUGCUGAAGCGACAAAUGCCCUGCUUCCAGGAAAAGCCUCUAAGCAUCAGGUAACAUUAAAUCGUACCCCAAACCGACACAGGUGGUCAGGUAGAGAAUACCAAGGCGCUUGAGAGAACUCGGGUGAAGGAACUAGGCAAAAUGGUGCCGUAACUUCGGGAGAAGGCACGCUGAUAUGUAGGUGAAGCGACUUGCUCGUGGAGCUGAAAUCAGUCGAAGAUACCAGCUGGCUGCAACUGUUUAUUAAAAACACAGCACUGUGCAAACACGAAAGUGGACGUAUACGGUGUGACGCCUGCCCGGUGCCGGAAGGUUAAUUGAUGGGGUUAGCGG